RNAcentral lists this ribosomal RNA (1030 nucleotides) under uncultured bacterium. RNAcentral's name for it is "bacterial SSU rRNA". It matches the Rfam family "Bacterial small subunit ribosomal RNA", at positions 1 to 1022 of the family's 1533-position model. The record is from RNAcentral.
CGCCGCUGCAGAGUUUGAUCCUGGCUCAGAUUGAACGCUGGCGGCAGGCUUAACACAUGCAAGUCGAGCGGAAACGAUGAUAGCUUGCUAUCAGGCGUCGAGCGGCGGACGGGUGAGUAAUACUUAGGAAUCUACCUAGUAGUGGGGGAUAGCUCGGGGAAACUCGAAUUAAUACCGCAUACGACCUACGGGAGAAAGGGGGCAACUUGUUGCUCUCGCUAUUAGAUGAGCCUAAGUCGGAUUAGCUAGAUGGUGGGGUAAAGGCCUACCAUGGCGACGAUCUGUAGCUGGUCUGAGAGGAUGAUCAGCCACACCGGGACUGAGACACGGCCCGGACUCCUACGGGAGGCAGCAGUGGGGAAUAUUGGACAAUGGGGGCAACCCUGAUCCAGCCAUGCCGCGUGUGUGAAGAAGGCCUUUUGGUUGUAAAGCACUUUAAGCAGUGAAGAAGACUCCAUGGUUAAUACCCAUGGACGAUGACAUUAGCUGCAGAAUAAGCACCGGCUAACUCUGUGCCAGCAGCCGCGGUAAUACAGAGGGUGCAAGCGUUAAUCGGAAUUACUGGGCGUAAAGCGAGCGUAGGUGGCUUGAUAAGUCAGAUGUGAAAUCCCCGGGCUUAACCUGGGAACUGCAUCUGAUACUGUUAGGCUAGAAUAGGUGAGAGGAAGGUAGAAUUCCAGGUGUAGCGGUGAAAUGCGUAGAGAUCUGGAGGAAUACCGAUGGCGAAGGCAGCCUUCUGGCAUCAUAUUGACACUGAGGUUCGAAAGCGUGGGUAGCAAACAGGAUUAGAUACCCUGGUAGUCCACGCCGUAAACGAUGUCUACUAGUCGUUGGGUCCCUUGAGGACUUAGUGACGCAGCUAACGCAAUAAGUAGACCGCCUGGGGAGUACGGCCGCAAGGUUAAAACUCAAAUGAAUUGACGGGGGCCCGCACAAGCGGUGGAGCAUGUGGUUUAAUUCGAUGCAACGCGAAGAACCUUACCUGGUCUUGACAUAUCUAGAAUCCUGCAGAGAUGCGGGAGUGCCUUCG